CUUCGGGGUCAGCGGCAGACGGGUGAGUAACGCGUGGGAACGUGCCCUUCGGUUCGGAAUAACUCAGGGAAACUUGAGCUAAUACCGGGAUACGCCCUUUUGGGGAAAGGCUUGCUGCCGAAGGAUCGGCCCGCGUCUGAUUAGCUAGUUGGUGAGGUUACGGCUCACCAAGGCGACGAUCAGUAGCUGGUCUGAGAGGAUGAUCAGCCACACUGGGACUGAGACACGGCCCAGACUCCUACGGGAGGCAGCAGUGGGGAAUAUUGGACAAUGGGGGCAACCCUGAUCCAGCCAUGCCGCGUGAGUGAUGACGGCCUUAGGGUUGUAAAGCUCUUUUCUCCGGGACGAUAAUGACGGUACCGGAGGAAUAAGCCCCGGCUAACUUCGUGCCAGCAGCCGCGGUAAUACGAAGGGGGCUAGCGUUGCUCGGAAUCACUGGGCGUAAAGGGCGCGUAGGCGGCUGAUUUAGUCGAGGGUGAAAGCCUGUGGCUCAACCACAGAAUUGCCUUCGAUACUGGUUGGCUUGAGACCGGAAGAGGACAGCGGAACUGCGAGUGUAGAGGUGAAAUUCGUAGAUAUUCGCAAGAACACCAGUGGCGAAGGCGGCUGUCUGGUCCGGUUCUGACGCUGAGGCGCGAAAGCGUGGGGGAGCAAACAGGAUUAGAUACCCUGGUAGUCCACGCUGUAAACGAUGAAUGCUAGCCGUUGGUCUGCAUGCAGGUCAGUGGCGCCGCU
This 735-nucleotide ribosomal RNA is filed under the name uncultured bacterium. RNAcentral describes it as "SSU rRNA". It matches the Rfam family "Bacterial small subunit ribosomal RNA", at positions 84 to 853 of the family's 1533-position model. The record is from RNAcentral.